This 379-nucleotide ribosomal RNA is filed under the name uncultured eukaryote. RNAcentral describes it as "partial 18S ribosomal RNA". It matches the Rfam family "Eukaryotic small subunit ribosomal RNA", at positions 592 to 976 of the family's 1831-position model. The record is from RNAcentral.
CAAUAGCGUAUACUUAAGUUGUUGCAGUUAAAAAGCUCGUAGUUGGAUUUCGGAUGGGAUUUGCCGGUCCGUCGUUACGAUGUGCACUGGCCAGUCCUAUCUUGUUGUCGGGGACUAGCUCCUUGGAUUCACUUCCUGGGACUAGGAGCUGACGAGGUUACUUUGAGUAAAUUAGAGUGUUCAAAGCAAGCCUACGCUCUGAAUACAUUAGCAUGGAAUAACACGAUAGGACUCUGGCUUAUCUUGUUGGUCUGUGAGACCAGAGUAAUGAUUAAGAGGGACAGUCGGGGACAUUCGUAUUUCAUUGUCAGAGGUGAAAUUCUUGGAUUUAUGAAAGACGAACUUCUGCGAAAGCAUUUGUCAAGGAUGUUUUCAUUAA